This 284-nucleotide long non-coding RNA is filed under the name Diabrotica virgifera virgifera (western corn rootworm). RNAcentral describes it as "uncharacterized LOC126888225". Lineage: Eukaryota; Metazoa; Arthropoda; Insecta; Coleoptera; Chrysomelidae. The record is from RNAcentral.
AAAUGAUUGGCUGUAGCAAACUGCUUAAAACAAAUUUCACACUUGUGAGGUUUUUCUCCAGUGUGCACUCUCAAAUGUAUUUUCAAAUGAUUGGCUGUAGCAAACUGCUUAAAACAAAUUUCACACUUGUGAGGUUUUUCUCCAGUGUGCACUCUCAAAUGUUUUUUCAAAUCACUUGCUGUAGCAAACUGCUUUAGACAAAUUUCACACUUAUGAGGUUUUUCUCCAGUGUGCACUCUCAAAUGUUUUUUCAAAUCACUUGCUGUAGCAAACCGCUUUAGACA